AUUGAACGCUGGCGGCAUGCCUUACACAUGCAAGUCGAACGGUAACAGGUCUUCGGAUGCUGACGAGUGGCGAACGGGUGAGUAAUACAUCGGAACGUGCCUAGUAGUGGGGGAUAACUACUCGAAAGAGUGGCUAAUACCGCAUGAGAUCUACGGAUGAAAGCAGGGGAUCGCAAGACCUUGUGCUACUAGAGCGGCCGAUGGCAGAUUAGGUAGUUGGUGGGAUAAAAGCUUACCGAGCCGACGAUCUGUAGCUGGUCUGAGAGGACGAUCAGCCACACUGGGACUGAGACACGGCCCAGACGCCUACGGGAGGCAGCAGUGGGGAAUUUUGGACAAUGGGCGCAAGCCUGAUCCAGCAAUGCCGCGUGCAGGAUGAAGGCCUUCGGGUUGUAAACUGCUUUUGUACGGAACGAAAAGCCCUGGGUUAAUACCCUGGGGUCAUGACGGUACCGUAAGAAUAAGCACCGGCUAACUACGUGCCAGCCGCCGCAGUAA
RNAcentral lists this ribosomal RNA (498 nucleotides) under uncultured bacterium. RNAcentral describes it as "partial 16S ribosomal RNA". It matches the Rfam family "Bacterial small subunit ribosomal RNA", at positions 30 to 523 of the family's 1533-position model. The record is from RNAcentral.